Molecule: transfer RNA, 81 nt
Organism: Paraphaeosphaeria sporulosa
Lineage: Eukaryota; Fungi; Ascomycota; Dothideomycetes; Pleosporales; Didymosphaeriaceae
Rfam family: tRNA
About the family: Transfer RNA (tRNA) molecules are approximately 80 nucleotides in length. Their secondary structure includes four short double-helical elements and three loops (D, anti-codon, and T loops).
Source: Rfam
GGCACUUUGGCGGAGUGGUUAACGCGCGGGCCUGCUAAGCCCGUUCCUUCGGGAGCGAGAGUUCGAAUCUCUCAGGUGUCG